Molecule: ribosomal RNA, 253 nt
Filed under: uncultured bacterium
Lineage: Bacteria
Description: partial 16S ribosomal RNA
Rfam family: Bacterial small subunit ribosomal RNA
Source: RNAcentral
GACAGAGGGGGCAAGCGUUGCUCGGAAUCACUGGGCGUAAAGGGCGCGUAGGCGGGAUGGCAAGUCGGUCGUGAAAUCCUUCGGCUCAACCGAAGAACGUCGGCCGAUACUGCCGUUCUUGAGGGGUGCAGAGGAGAUUGGAAUUCCCGGUGUAGCGGUGAAAUGUGUAGAGAUCGGGAGGAACACCGGUGGCGAAGGCGGGUCUCUGGGCAUCUCCUGACGCUGAGGCGCGAAAGCGUGGGGAGCAAACGGG